RNAcentral lists this long non-coding RNA (286 nucleotides) under Actinidia chinensis (golden kiwifruit). RNAcentral describes it as "long non-coding RNA (ACHI_LNC003606)". The record is from RNAcentral. Lineage: Eukaryota; Viridiplantae; Streptophyta; Magnoliopsida; Ericales; Actinidiaceae.
AAGAAAUUUGGGGCAGAGGGAAAAGAAAGAGAAAAUAAAGAGAGAUAAUGGAGUAUUUGAAAGGAAAAAAAAAUUAUAUAGCGUGGUUAAUCAUGAUCAUGAGAGCUAAAACAUAGAAUCAACAGUGAAACGAUAUCCGAUUGAGAUAAAAAUUAAGUAUGAUAUUUAUGGUUGGCAGAUCAGUAUAUCCAAUGGUCUCAAUUCUGAUUUGAGGUAAGUAUGGGGUAUACAAUAUGCUUUAUAAAUUUUGAAGUAUUUUCUUAAAAUAUUCGAUUUUGUAUUUUUC